This 253-nucleotide ribosomal RNA is filed under the name uncultured bacterium. Its description in RNAcentral is "partial 16S ribosomal RNA". It matches the Rfam family "Bacterial small subunit ribosomal RNA", at positions 524 to 776 of the family's 1533-position model. The record is from RNAcentral.
UACGAAGGGAGCUAGCGUUGUUCGGAAUUACUGGGCGUAAAGGGCGCGUAGGCGGUUUAGUAAGUCAGAUGUGAAAGCCCCGGGCUUAACCUGGGAACAGCAUUUGAUACUGCUAGACUUGAGAUCGAAAGAGGAGAGUGGAAUUGCGAGGGUAGAGGUGAAAUUCGUAGAUAUUCGCAGGAACACCAGUGGCGAAGGCGACUCUCUGGUUCGAUACUGACGCUAAGGCGCGAAAGCGUGGGGAGCAAACAGG